RNAcentral lists this ribosomal RNA (650 nucleotides) under uncultured bacterium. RNAcentral's name for it is "bacterial SSU rRNA". It matches the Rfam family "Bacterial small subunit ribosomal RNA", at positions 56 to 697 of the family's 1533-position model. The record is from RNAcentral.
UGCAGUCGAGCGGAUUUAUCCUUCGGGAUAAGUUAGCGGCGGACGGGUGAGUAACACGUAGGUAACCUGCCUAUAAGAUCGGGAUAACUAUCGGAAACGAUAGCUAAGACCGGAUAACUGGUUUUCUCGCAUGAGAGAAUUAUGAAACACGGAGCAAUCUGUGGCUUAUAGAUGGGCCUGCGGCGCAUUAGCUAGUUGGUGGGGUAACGGCCUACCAAGGCGACGAUGCGUAGCCGACCUGAGAGGGUGAACGGCCACACUGGGACUGAGACACGGCCCAGACUCCUACGGGAGGCAGCAGUAGGGAAUCUUCCGCAAUGGACGCAAGUCUGACGGAGCAACGCCGCGUGAGUGAUGAAGGUUUUCGGAUCGUAAAGCUCUGUUGCCCUAGACGAACAGCAAGGAGAGUAACUGCUCUUUGUGUGACGGUAUAGGAGAAGAAAGCCCCGGCUAACUACGUGCCAGCAGCCGCGGUAAUACGUAGGGGGCAAGCGUUGUCCGGAAUUAUUGGGCGUAAAGCGCGCGCAGGCGGUCAAUUAAGUUGGGUGUUUAAGCCCGGGGCUCAACCCCGGUUCGCAUCCAAAACUGGUUGACUUGAGUGUAGGAGAGGAAAGUGGAAUUCCACGUGUAGCGGUGAAAUGCGUAGAGAU